Molecule: transfer RNA, 84 nt
Filed under: marine sediment metagenome
Rfam family: tRNA
About the family: Transfer RNA (tRNA) molecules are approximately 80 nucleotides in length.
Source: RNAcentral
GCCGGCGUGCCAGAAAGGUUAAUGGGCGUGGCUCGAGACCACGUGUCCCUUUGGGACAUCUAGGUUCGAAUCCUAGCGCCGGCG